This is a non-coding RNA of Linepithema humile (Argentine ant), 531 nucleotides long. Lineage: Eukaryota; Metazoa; Arthropoda; Insecta; Hymenoptera; Formicidae. The record is from RefSeq and is a predicted model, not a curated record.
AGAAGUACAAAAAACUUGAGAAACUAUAUUUAAAAAGUGAAAGAUCGAGGGUUUUAAUGAAAAAAAAUCACAACCGAUUGCAAGUCAUUAUGAAGAGGAAAAUUAUGAAACUGGAAAAAAUUGUACGUGUUGCUCAAAGGUGGAAACAAACCGUGGCAUAUUUUUAUUCCGGUAAUAGUACAAACGGAUCGAUUUAUAAGUCAAUAAUUUUAAAUAUUAUUGAGGAAGCUAACAAAAUAGGAUUGCGUGUUCAAGGUAUCGUAUCCAAUAUGGGUGCUCCAAACCAGGCAAUGUGGAAAUCGUUUAACAUUAAUGUUUCUCGAUAUUCGACGGUACAAAAUAAAUAAAAAUCAUUUAUUCAUGAAUCUAUACCAGCCAGUUUGAAAUUACCCGAGCUCAAUUAUGCAGAGUACACAUACGAAAGGAUCAAAAAUGAAUUUCAUAACUGCAAAUAGAUGGCAAGUAUGAAUAUAUAUGUGAAUAUAUUUUCAUUUGUAAAAUAUUUUGUACAUAAAAAAUAAAACUUUUUAA